Molecule: transfer RNA, 71 nt
Filed under: Phrynosoma platyrhinos (Desert horned lizard)
Lineage: Eukaryota; Metazoa; Chordata; Lepidosauria; Squamata; Phrynosomatidae
Description: tRNA-OTHER
Rfam family: tRNA
About the family: Transfer RNA (tRNA) molecules are approximately 80 nucleotides in length.
Source: RNAcentral
CCAAACGUGGCAUAGUGGUUUGAGUGUUGGACUUGGACUCUGAGAGACCAGGGUUCAAAUCCCUGCUUGGA